GAUUCAUAAUAACUAAACGAAUCGCAUGGCCUUGCGCCGGCGAUGGUUCAUUCAAAUUUCUGCCCUAUCAACUUUCGAUUGUAAGAUAGAGGCUUACAAUGGUCUUAACGGGUAACGGGGAAUUAGGGUUCUAUUCCGGAGAGGGAGCCUGAGAAACGGCUACCACAUCCAAGGAAGGCAGCAGGCGCGCAAAUUACCCAAUGCUAAUUCAGCGAGGUAGUGACAAUAAAUACUGAUACGGGGCUCUUUCGGGUCUCGUAAUUGGAAUGAGUACAAUCUAAAUCCCUUAACGAGGAACAAUUGGAGGGCAAGUCUGGUGCCAGCAGCCGCGGUAAUUCCAGCUCCAAUAGCGUAUAUUAAAGUUGUUGCCGUUAAAAAGCUCGUAGUUGAACCUUGGAUCUGGCUGAUCUGUCCUCCUAAUCGAGCGCACGGAUUCGGUCGGAUCUUUCCUUCUGGGGAACCCUAUGCCCUUCACUGGGUGUAGUGGGGAACCAGGACUUUUAC
Molecule: ribosomal RNA, 504 nt
Filed under: uncultured fungus
Lineage: Eukaryota; Fungi
Description: SSU rRNA
Rfam family: Eukaryotic small subunit ribosomal RNA
Source: RNAcentral